UACGUAGGGGGCAAGCGUUGUCCGGAAUCAUUGGGCGUAAAGAGCGUGUAGGCGGCUCGAUAAGUCCGCUGUGAAAGUCCAGGGCUCAACCCUGGAAGGCCGGUGGAAACUGUCGGGCUAGAGUCCGGAAGAGGCGAGUGGAAUUCCUGGUGUAGCGGUGAAAUGCGCAGAUAUCAGGAGGAACACCAGUGGCGAAGGCAGCUCGCUGGGACGGUACUGACGCUGAGACGCGAAAGCGUGGGGAGCAAACAGG
Molecule: ribosomal RNA, 253 nt
Filed under: uncultured bacterium
Lineage: Bacteria
Description: partial 16S ribosomal RNA
Rfam family: Bacterial small subunit ribosomal RNA
Source: RNAcentral